This 301-nucleotide ribosomal RNA is filed under the name uncultured bacterium. Its description in RNAcentral is "partial 16S ribosomal RNA". It matches the Rfam family "Bacterial small subunit ribosomal RNA", at positions 509 to 807 of the family's 1533-position model. The record is from RNAcentral.
CAGUCGCCGCGGUAAUACCGAGGGUGCGAGCGUUAAUCGGAUUUACUGGGCGUAAAGCGUGCGUAGGCGGCUUUUUAAGUCGGAUGUGAAAUCCCUGAGCUUAACUUAGGAAUUGCAUUCGAUACUGGGAAGCUAGAGUAUGGGAGAGGAUGGUGGAAUUUCCUGUGUAGCGGUGAAAUGCGUAGAUAUAGGAAGGAACACCAGUGGCGAGGGCGACUACCUGGACUGAUACUGACACUGAGGUGCGAAAGCGUGGGGAGCAAACAGGAUUAGAUACCCCAGUAGUCCCUGUCUCUUAUAC